Molecule: RNA transcript, 1776 nt
Organism: Solenopsis invicta (red fire ant)
Lineage: Eukaryota; Metazoa; Arthropoda; Insecta; Hymenoptera; Formicidae
Gene name: protein SMG9
Exons: 10
Source: RefSeq, a predicted model, not a curated record
GAUUUCCUAACCUAAAUAAUCGUCAACUUUAAUGAUCAAUAUCUCGUUUCGCGGAGCAGACCGACGCUUAUUUCUGUCAGAUUUUUGUUUCGUGCAAAAACGUGUCCAUUGAGCUUAAAUUUUUCAAAAUCAGUGCUGAAUUAACUCUUCUAAACAAUUGUCCAAUAAUUUUAUAAAUUUCAUGUUCAUAUGUGAUGUACAUGCAUAACUUAAUGUGGAUAUUGCAACAAAUGUGAAAAAGAUGCUGCCAACAAUAUCGAAAGACUCUGAGAUUAAAGAUGGAGAAAGCAAGAAUUUAAUUAAAAUUGUAGAACGACCAACAUUCAUAUUGAAGACUAGAGAAGGAGAAAAUAGAGCUGUUUCUCCGAGUCAGCGUAAUGGCCAUAAAAAAGAUGCUGAUGUGUCUUCGGCAACGCCGGUGAAAGUACAAGAUAUUCACGCAAUUCGCACGCUUUCCAUGUGUCCCGAAAUGAGUACGAGCGUGAAAUUCAUGGAUGAAAAUAUGCAACUGUGUGAAAAUUCAAUAGAUUUUUUAUACGAUCAGCAGGAUUUUCUAGUUGUUGGUUGUCUAGGUGCUCAGGGUGUUGGUAAAUCAACGAUUAUGUCAUUAUUAACAUCACGUUACUCGUCUAAUAUUUUUCAAGUCCAGGAUUUGUCGCAUUACGAAAGUGGUACAAAUUGCACUACUGGAAUAGAUUUCUUUGUAACUAAAAACAGAGUGAUAUAUUUGGAUACGCAGCCAAUUUUUUCUGGAUUUGUGCUCGACUCGACAUCCUUUGAUCAGAAAAAGGGUACACCUGAUUUUGUGAAUAACGAUUCCAAUUUGGAAUUACAAUCGCUUCAAUUUACGGCAUUUCUGUUUUCCAUAUGCCAUGUUAUCAUAUGUGUACAAGAUUGGUUCGUCGAUCCUAAUUUAGUGAGAUUUUUACAAACUGCAGAAAUGUUAAAACCAUCUUCGACAACUGUCAUAGAUCAAGAUUACGUAGAAUAUUAUCCGCACAUUGUAUUUUUGCAUAAUAAAGCGGAAUUACAGGACUUUAUGCCUGUUGUUAUUGAUGAAAUGAAGGAUUUUUAUAAUAAAGUAUUUUCCAGUUCCCGACUGCAAACUCAAAGCGGUAUAGAUAUGAAUCAUUGUUCGACGGAGAAUGGUUUGAAUUUAUUUUUUAUACCAUCGAGGACUAAAGAAGAGGACAUGACUUUUUGUGAAAGUGAAGAAUCUCUUAUAGACCGAUUACGAACAAAGAUACAUGGAGUUUCUAGAAAUUCAAUUACACCUUCCGUAUUAACUGAAAAAAAUUGGUAUCAUUACGUUUCAAAAGUCAUAGAAGUGAUAAAGAAAAGUCAUCUUUCUUCUGAAUACGGAAGAUUAAUGCCUUAAAUCUGAAAGCUUAUAAGGAAGAAGGAUGUGAAAAGAAAUCAAGGAAUUGAUUUUUCACGAGUUCAAGAUGAGCUCUCUGGAUUCAUUUGCCACUCGCACGUGAGGCAGAAUCUCCUUGAUUAUUUUGUUAAUUGACGCACGAGGAAGAGUGAGCUCGUCAUCGUCGGUCGGUGACAUCGCAGCCGAGGCCAUUUGACUCCUAGAAUAUUAAAUAAACAGUAUUUAAAAUAACACAAAUUACAUUAUUGUGAAUAUAAGGUUCGUAACUUAUAAUAAAUUGUGUGCGUGCGUGCGUGUAAUUUUGUUAUUAAUAAAAAUAAAUCUGAUACUUGUACUUUUGUAUUAUGACCACGUUUGAGUCUUUUUUUAUUGACUAAAUUAAAGUUAAUAGAUAUAAA